UACGGGAGGCAGCAGUGAGGAAUAUUGGGCAAUGGUCGGAAGACUGACCCAGCCAUGCCGCGUGCAGGAAGACGGCCCUAUGGGUUGUAAACUGCUUUUAUACGGGAAGAAACCCUCCUACGUGUAGGAGCUUGACGGUACCGUAAGAAUAAGC
Molecule: ribosomal RNA, 154 nt
Filed under: uncultured Cytophaga AL10b13
Lineage: Bacteria; Pseudomonadati; Bacteroidota; Cytophagia; Cytophagales; Cytophagaceae
Description: partial 16S ribosomal RNA
Rfam family: Bacterial small subunit ribosomal RNA
Source: RNAcentral